Molecule: ribosomal RNA, 429 nt
Filed under: uncultured archaeon
Lineage: Archaea
Description: bacterial SSU rRNA
Rfam family: Archaeal small subunit ribosomal RNA
Source: RNAcentral
UACCAGCUCUCCGAGUGGUGUGGAUGUUUAUUGGGCCUAAAGCAUCCGUAGCUGGCUGGGCAAGUCCCCUGUUAAAUCCACCGAUUUAAUCGUUGGUGUGCGGGGGAUACUGUUCGGCUAGGGGACGGGAGAGGCCGACGGUAUUUUCGGGGUAGGGGUGAAAUCCUAUAAUCCCGGGAAGACCACCAGUGGCGAAGGCUGUCGGCUAGAACGCGCCCGACGGUGAGGGAUGAAAGCUGGGGGAGCGAACCGGAUUAGAUACCCGGGUAGUCCCAGCUGUAAACGAUGCAGGCUAGGUGUUUGGGCGGCCACGAGCCGCUCUAGUGCCGCAGGGAAGCUGUUAAGCCUGCCGCCUGGGGAGUACGGCCGCAAGGCUGAAACUUAAAGGAAUUGGCGGGGGAGCACCACAAGGGGUGAAGCCUGCGGUUU